This 460-nucleotide ribosomal RNA is filed under the name uncultured bacterium. Its description in RNAcentral is "partial 16S ribosomal RNA". It matches the Rfam family "Bacterial small subunit ribosomal RNA", at positions 29 to 523 of the family's 1533-position model. The record is from RNAcentral.
AGUGAACGCUGGCGGCAGGCUUAACACAUGCAAGUCGAGCGAGAAAGUGGCUUCGGUCAUGAGUAAAGCGGCAAACGGGUGAGUAACGCGUGGGAAUUUCCCUUCUAGUCUUGGAUAGCCCCGGGAAACUGGGAUUAGUACAAGAUAUUAUCUACGGAUGAAAGAUUUAUCGCUAGAAGAUAAGCCCGCGUGAGAUUAGCUAGUUGGUGAGGUAAUGGCUCACCAAGGCAACGAUCUCUAGUUGGUCUGAGAGGAUGAUCAACCACACUGGAACUCAGACACGGUCCAGACUCCUACUGGAGGCAGCAGUGAGGAAUAUUGGACAAUGGGGGAAACCCUGAUCCAGCCAUGCCGCGUGAGUGAUGAAGGCCCUAGGGUUGUAAAGCUCUUUCAGUGGGGACGAUAAUGACGGUACCCGCAGAAGAAGCCCCGGCUAACUUCGUGCCAGCCGCCGCCGUAA